CGGUUGAUAUCGCCCGCAGGAAAACAACACAACAAACCAACAGACCAAACAACCAAGAACUCGGUGAACAUCGAGGGGGAAUUCUUUCUAAAAUCUGCUCCAUAAAGCCAUCUUUUCAUUAAAAGUGUUGCUCUGAUGUUUGUGCUACGUACUGGAGCCGAAUUACGAAAAAUAAACCACAGCGGUGAGUGAAACGUACAAAUAGUAUGGAAGGUGAACGUUUCUCUGUGAGCUAUUUUGCAGCUGCGAGUUAAUUCCUACAACACGUGGCGUCCUGUCAAUCUGUCACGCGGUGGUGGCUGGUGGACGAGGCGAGUGGACGGCCGCAGGUUUUGCUGUGUGGAGAUGAAAACUAUUGGACAGCUGAGCUGCUGAAUGGCAGAGUUGUGGCAGCAGCCAGCCAGUAAGGAGGUGACUGCUGGCUCAGCUCUUCAAUGUCGGUAAGUACCUUGCAUGCCUCGUCGAGGGACAGCUCCGUGGGACCUCAGCAGCGACACCUCCACAUGGUGCCAAGGUAAAGAAAGAGGACAUUGUUUGUUUGUUUAGGAGGUAGGCACUGCUAGGAUCCUAACCUUUGGCUUGCCUUUCAGGUGCACUAAUGUUUCCAGCAUUGAUUUUUUACUUCAACAGAUGUUUCAUGCAUCAGAAAUUCCAUGUUAUGUCCAUGACAGCAGCAGGAGCUUCUGUAAGGAAACUCACCUUAAAGUAGCUUAUAAGAUGUUUGGUGGGAUGAUUGUUCCAAGGCAGCAGCCUCUUCACAAGAAAACAAGACUGCUUCAAUGCAGUUGGAAAGUGUGAUUUUUGGGUAAGUGCCCAGUAUGUAAAGUUUUGGGAAAGAACUGUAGCUACUCUAUAUUAUGGAUUUUCUGCACUUAGCUUAUGAAAAGUUGAUAAAAAACAUAAUUAAUAGAAUAUCAAGAAUCAAACAAAUGCUACAUUGUCUUACCAGUCAUAAUGUUUUAUGUUGUUGUCUCAUGUUUAUGAAAAUAUAAAUUUUAUCAGAGAUAUCCAUGAUGAGUUGCUGUGUAUUAUAUCAGUUCCUAUGAGACUGUUAGUUAUACUGGAAAAGUUUUCAGACAAAUCCUGCCAUACCAAGUGAUCCUGGUAUUCAAAGUGUAUGGGGAAAAGAACAAAGCUGUGCACUGCAUCUUGAAAGAGGAAAUGAAAAGUUUGUAACUUUUGUGUCUAGCCUGGAAUGCUAAGAACUGAACAACAUGAAUGACUGAGUAGCCUGCUGUCCUGUUCUCCAUCUUGGAAUGUUAAUAAUUCAAGUGAACAAAGAACAGAGUACUCUUUAAGUCCUGCCCUCCUUCAUCUUGGAAUGCUAACAUAGAUCUGCACAACAAUGAAGAGAACUCUCUGGAUUGAUGGUAGGUAUUUCUGGUAUCUAAUACAGGUACAUAAAACUUUAUUUGCCUUUCAGAAUCCCUUGCAUACUUAACUUCAAUGUGAUAGUAUGCCAUAAGUAAUGGAUAGUUCAUUGGUAGAGGUCUUGCCUCCGUUUUUACUUUUCUUUUCAGCAUUAUGAUCACAAGUUAGUUGGGGUCAUGUGUGUGAGCUUCAUCUGCUGUGAUCUGUUUUGCACUCAUAUUUUUCCUUGAAUCUUUCUUCCAUUUUUAUUUAUUUAUUUAUUAUUAUUAUUUUUUUUUAGCUUCUGCUUAUAUCACUGGUAACCUGUCUUGAGGGGGCCCAUUAGUGGUGCAGCCAAAUUUUAUUUCUAGUAGCUGUCAUGAUGUAUGACUUGCUUGGCCCAUGCUGCCCCCUGGUGCUCCACUUGAACGAAGUUGUUUAAGUUAGGGUUGAUUGAAGAUCUGGGCAGCAUGUGCGUAAUCUUUCGCCACUCAGUGAUGGCUUGAAAAAUCAGUGUCUUUUGGUGGGACUUAAACCUAGGUCCACGGGCUCACCAUGCUUGCAUGCUGUCCACGCGGCCACCGCCUCCCUACCCCCCACCGCAUAAAUGGACCUCAUGUGGCCCAUCUAACAUCAAAUCAUAAAACUGAAAAUAACAACUCCUCCAUAACUAAAUUUAAAGAUAAUCUAAAGGUCCUUAGGUUUAAUACUCAUAGCUUAAGUAAUAAGAUUGAAAACUUGGUGUCUUGCUUCAACAGAAAAUUUUGAUAGAAUUGCUAUAACAGAAAUAUUCAUUGACACCUCAAAUACUUAUAUAAUUCCAGAAAACAAUGUACUGUAGAUGAUGACAGUCUCUUCAACAAAGAUUGCAUCAACCAUAGAGGUGGAGGUGUUGCCCUUUAUGCCAACAGCUACUUGCAUCCCACUGAUAGAUCACCAAGAGACACUAAUGCUGAACAUUUGCGCGUGCGAGUAAAUAGUGUAAAAAAUUAACUUAUCUCACUUACAGGGCUCCUUGUCAAUCACUCUGUGAUAUUGAAAUGUUUGGCGUUUUAUGAGUCAGGUCAUGACAGCGACUCACUGAUAUUAGGAGACUUUAAUCUCCCUCAUAUUCCACUGGGAGUCACUGUCAGGCACUGAAGGUGAGUCACAUCGAAUGCUUGAAUUUUGAGAGGAUAAUUACCCAAGUCAACUGGUCACUGAACCAACUCGACUAAAUAACAUGUUGUCCUCCAUGUUUGAGAGCAAACAGAGUAACGCUGAGGUUACAUUACCCAAAAAUGACUUCAUUUGCUUUCCGAUCAUCUGAGGUUGAAAAGCUUCUAAAUAAUUCAGAUACAUAUGGAGGUACUGAUCCUCUUGGCUUUUUCCCACUAUUUUUCAAAACAAUUAGUAAUCUCCUAGCUACCAAACUGUCCGUCAUUUUCAGAAUUCUAAUUUGGCAAGGUCGCUUUCCUAUCUGUUGGUGUAUUGCUAAUGUUACUCCUAUCAUGAAGAAAUCUGCUUCAGUUUUACCAGAAGAAUACAGACCCAUCUCUAUUACUCCUAUUCUGUCAAAAGUAUUUGAGCGUUUGUUGGGGAAAUGACUCCCUAAAUAUUUCAUUAACUUUAAUCUUCUACCACCUAACCAGUUUGGUUUUAUGAUGGCUUAGGAACUUGUGAUGCUCUUUUGGUGUUGAUACAUGACCUUCAAUCUUCUCUCGAUUGUGGACAUGAGUCUCGGCUUAUUUCUUUGGAUUUUAGUUUAGCCUUUGAUAUGGUGAAUCACAAGGCAUUGUUGUUUAAACUGGAAAAUUCUGGUGUAGGAGGGCAUGUCCUAGAUGUGAUCUCUGAGUUUUUAACAUUAAGGACAUUGAUAUAGGACUUAACCCUUUCCUUGCGCGCGGUGCGGAUGCGACUGUCCCCUCAGGCGCAGUCGGGCAGCCCAAUGGGGAGUCUAUUUUAACCUCUGUAUCUCAAAAACUAUUCAUCACAGCUAAACACCAAAAACACCACUGGAAAGAGGAGGUCCAGAUCUAUAGGGGUCGGUUAUGUAUGCCUCUCUUGCGAAUGUACAUGCACGUUCAGGGAGUGUUGAAUGUUAACACUUACGUCGGUGCGUGUGGGAUGAUCAGCCAUAUUGAGGUAACUGCGGACAUCUCUCCUUCAGACUCUGGCAAGGGAGUAUUGCCAACUGCAAUAUUUGCAACUAUUUGGUCAAAGAAUCAGUCAGGUGAUAGGUGAAGCUAUGCAAAAAUGCCGCUAUAUUGGGCAAAAACAUCCACCAGUUACUCGUCCAUAGAUUUGCCGCGCUGGGCUGAUAUGAUUUUCCACCAAAUUUAGUGAAGAACCCACUCAAUUGGCAAUCCUGUGUUGUGAGAAUUAGUGUUGGAACUCACUCAAACGCGGGAGAUUUGAGUGCGGGUGGAGCUCGCAGCGAGCGUUUAGCGCCACGAGCAAAUACGCUUAAUGCUCGCUGCGAGCGUUUAGCAGUGAAAGGGUUUAUAGUCUCGUUAGUAAAUUUGCUGAUGCCACAAAGAUAGGUAAUUCGGUCCUCUUUGACGAAGACAGACAAAGGCUACAAGAAGAUUUGUAUAGAAUUUCAGAUUGGUCUGAUUAAUGGAAUAUAUAUGAUAUAAACAGUGCCAUCUUCAAAUUGGCAAAAAAAUAAGAGGUUUGAUUAUGAAAUGUAUGCACUAAACUCAAAAGCGUUCAGUAUGUCAAGGACAUUGGUGUCAAAUUCAGGUCAACCCUCAAAUUCUCACAGCAAAGCAUUGAUACAAUUAAGAAAGUGAACAGAAUGCUGGGCUUCAUUAACCCGUUGAGCCCCACCAAUAAUACAUAAUGAUCCACCAAUUUUUUUUAUAUAUUUUUUCUAGGAAAUCCAAUGGAAUCAUGAAGUUAUAACAACAAAAGCACAUAAAAUCACUCACCAUAGCCACAGAACACGCAGAACAUAUCUACUGAGGGGGGGUACAUCUUGCGUUGUUUUUUGUGUAGCGUUGAAAAUGAGAGA
This is a long non-coding RNA of Eriocheir sinensis (Chinese mitten crab), 4345 nucleotides long. RefSeq lists it as uncharacterized. The record is from RefSeq and is a predicted model, not a curated record. NCBI's taxonomy places the organism in Eukaryota, Metazoa, Arthropoda, Malacostraca, Decapoda, Varunidae. The transcript has 4 exons.